This 869-nucleotide ribosomal RNA is filed under the name Steineropsis alaskana. RNAcentral describes it as "bacterial SSU rRNA". It matches the Rfam family "Eukaryotic small subunit ribosomal RNA", at positions 112 to 677 of the family's 1831-position model. Lineage: Eukaryota; Fungi; Ascomycota; Lecanoromycetes; Peltigerales; Pannariaceae. The record is from RNAcentral.
AUCGUUUAUGUUGAUAGUACCCUGCUACUUGGAUACCUGUGGCAAUUCUAGAGCUAAUACAUGCUAAAAACCUCGACUUCGGAAGGGGUGUAUUUAUUAGAUAAAAAACCAAUGCCCUUCGGGGCUCCGUGGUGAAUCAUAAUAACUCAACGAAUCGCAUGGCCUUGCGCCGGCGAUGGUUCAUUCAAAUUUCUGCCCUAUCAACUUUCGAUGGUAGGAUAGUGGCCUACCAUGGUUUCUACGGGUAACGGGGAAUUAGGGUUCGAUUCCGGAGAGGGAGCCUGAGAAACGGCUACCACAUCCAAGGAAGGCAGCAGGCGCGCAAAUUACCCAAUCCCGACACGGGGAGGUAGUGACAAUAAAUACUGAUGUGGAGCUCUUUUGGGUUUCGCAAUUGGAAUGAGUACAAUUUAAAUCCCUUAACGAGGAACAAUUGGAGGGCAAGUCUGGUGGACUCCCAUGCUGGCACCAGAGAGUGGGGAACCGGGUGCCCGACGGGCGCCUGGUCCCCGAGUCGCUCCGGCGGCGAGGCACUUGGUUCGGGGGACGCUGCCGGACGGUGGCUAUCUCGCAGCGAGGACGAUCGGUCCCGUUGUAACGCGCGCAAAAGUGCCGGCCACCGCGGGUGGCUCGAGGGACGUGCUGUUCCUGUUUUGACAAACACCUGUGCCUGAGUGCCCUUGAGAGGGGUACUGGGAUAUGAGGGAGGAUAGCUCCCAUUUGGGGGCUUCCUGGAAAAUCUAACGAUGAAUGUUCAAGCCAGCAGCCGCGGUAAUUCCAGCUCCAAUAGCGUAUAUUAAAGUUGUUGCAGUUAAAAGCUCGUAGUUGAAACUUGGGUUUGGUUGAUCGGUCCGCCUCACCGCGUGCAC